ACGGGGGGUGCAAGCGUUGUUCGGAAUUAUUGGGCGUAAAGAGCGUGUAGGCGGCGGGAUAAGUCAGAUGUGAAAGCCCUGGGCUAAACUCAGGAAGUGCAUUUGAAACUGUUUCGCUUGAGUACUGGAGAGGGAAGAGGAAUUCCUGGUGUAGAGGUAAAAUUCGUAGAUAUCACGAGGAACACCGUUGGCGAAGGCGACUUCCUGACCAGAUUCUGACGCUGAGACGCAAGAGCGUGUGGAGCAAACAG
Molecule: ribosomal RNA, 251 nt
Filed under: uncultured prokaryote
Description: partial 16S rRNA
Rfam family: Bacterial small subunit ribosomal RNA
Source: RNAcentral